RNAcentral lists this non-coding RNA (92 nucleotides) under Pseudomonas sp. LAIL14HWK12:I10. Lineage: Bacteria; Pseudomonadati; Pseudomonadota; Gammaproteobacteria; Pseudomonadales; Pseudomonadaceae. The record is from RNAcentral. RNAcentral also lists the same sequence under 2 other names.
UUCAAUGGCGGCUGUACGUGCGGGCACGCUUGCGUGCGCCGGAACUUUGCUUAAUCCGCCGGUCUGUCAACCCACGUACAGCUGCCACCCUU